This 1638-nucleotide unclassified non-coding RNA is filed under the name Eurytemora carolleeae. Its description in RNAcentral is "iduronate 2-sulfatase". The record is from RNAcentral. Lineage: Eukaryota; Metazoa; Arthropoda; Copepoda; Calanoida; Temoridae.
AAUCAAUUCAAAAUAAAUCAAAAUAAAUCAAAAUGAGAAAGUAUAAAAUAAAACUUCAAGAAUAGCAGACAUUAUUUUUGAUGGUUUGACAAAAAUAUAUUUUUUUUAAGGAGGAAUAAAUUAAUUUUGAGAUUAGCAAUCAUUAAAACUCAAGAUAGGAGAAUCCAAGUCAACUUGACCAAUUAUUUCACCAACUUACUUUUAAAAUACAGUACAUAUUAUGGUACAUAAAAGCAGAAACGAACAAUUGAAUACUGCUAAUAUAAAACUUGUUUUGAAAUGAAUUGUACUGCACAAGUGUUCUUAAAGUGUGUAUUAUAUUGUACAACUUGAAUUGAUGUACAGUGCUUGAAUUAAUGUACUGUACUUGAAUUGAUGUACUGUACUUGACUUGAUGAAUUUUCCCCUAAUUUAUGUACUUUACUUGAAUUAAUGUAUUGUACUUGUCUUGAUGUACUGUACUUGAAUUGAUGUACUGUACUUGAAUUGAUGUAUUGUACUUAAAUUGAUGUACUGUACUUGAAUUGAUGUACUGUACUUGAAUUGAUGUAUUAUACUUAAAUUGUUGUAUACUGUAGGGAGCUCUAGAAAGUAGUAAAGAAUUCUCCUGGCGGGCUGUAACUCCAGAAAUGGAGAUUGAGUUUCCUCUGCAAGAUGUUGCUAUUACAGUUGCUGCAGUUGAAGUACUAGAGGAACUAGCAGACCAGUCUUUACAAGGAGAGAAGCCAUUUUUCAUUGGUCUUGGAUAUCAUCGACCUCAUCUACCGUUUGUUUUCCCGGAGGAGUUUCUAAACCUUUAUCCUACAGAAGAUAUCAGUCUUCCUUCAAACAGAUAUGUUACUGAAAAUCUUCCAGAAUUAGCCUGGAGCACUUACCAGGAGAUCAGACAAUAUGAUGACACAUCAAAUGAAGGUCUUGGACUGCAGAAUCUUGGAGAUUUCAAUACAACUUUUCCAGAUGCGAAAACAUUGGAGCUCAGGAGAGCAUAUUACGCAUCUGUUUCCUAUAUUGACAGAGAGGUUGGGAUUGUCCUGCGAACCCUUGAGGGACUUGGUCUGGCUGAGAACACGAUUGUUGUGUUGUGGGGGGACCAUGGUUGGAGUCUAGGAGAGAACAGUGAAUGGAGUAAAAUAACAAAUUUUGAGAUUGCAAACAGGAUUCCAUUUAUCCUCAGGGUUCCAGGGGUUACAGAUGAUGGUUUAACCACUGACCAACUAGUUGAAUCUGUUGAUAUAUUUCCUACAAUCCUACAAGCUGCAGGGUUUCCAGCUCCCCCACUGUGUCCAGAGGAGUCAGGCUCUAUCGAACUAUGCAGAGAAGGACGUAGCUUGCUUCCUCUUCUCCAGGAGCAGAAAAAUACUCAGUGGAAGAAGUCCGUAUUUUGGCAAUUUCCGAGCUCUGGAAGACGGGAGAAGGAUGAGGUAUACGGUAUGGGCUGGAACUACUCCGGAUGGGGAGCAUAGCUGGACUCCGGACUGGAUAAAUCUCUGUGAUCAUGAUGAACUCUACGAUCUCACCGAUGAUCCCCAAGAGACCGUCAACAGGUACUCUGAUCCUGAGUAUGCGGAUUUAAAAACAAGUUUAUAUGAGAAGCUGAGAGCAGGAUGGAGAGCUGAAAUGUAGAAUAUAAUUUCUGAG